This 72-nucleotide transfer RNA is filed under the name Camelus bactrianus (Bactrian camel). It matches the Rfam family "tRNA". Rfam says of the family: Transfer RNA (tRNA) molecules are approximately 80 nucleotides in length. Their secondary structure includes four short double-helical elements and three loops (D, anti-codon, and T loops). Further hydrogen bonds mediate the characteristic L-shaped molecular structure. tRNAs have two regions of fundamental functional importance: the anti-codon, which is responsible for specific mRNA codon recognition, and the 3' end, to which the tRNAs corresponding amino acid is attached (by aminoacyl-tRNA synthetases). tRNAs cope with the degeneracy of the genetic code in two manners: having more than one tRNA (with a specific anti-codon) for a particular amino acid; and 'wobble' base-pairing, i.e. permitting non-standard base-pairing at the 3rd anti-codon position. RNAcentral also lists the same sequence under 2 other names. Lineage: Eukaryota; Metazoa; Chordata; Mammalia; Artiodactyla; Camelidae. The record is from Rfam by way of RNAcentral.
GUGAGUAUAGCUCAGUUGUAGAGCACAUACUUAGCAUGAGCAAGGUCCUGGGUUCAAUCCCCAGUAUCUCCA